Erinaceus europaeus (western European hedgehog) is the source of this 446-nucleotide long non-coding RNA. RefSeq lists it as uncharacterized. The record is from RefSeq and is a predicted model, not a curated record. The transcript is spliced from 2 exons. NCBI's taxonomy places the organism in Eukaryota, Metazoa, Chordata, Mammalia, Eulipotyphla, Erinaceidae.
CGCGCCCGGUGCCCCAGCUGCGGCCACCGCCGCUGCCGAGACCCCCGCGGCCACCAGCUCCUCCGCUCAGGCCGCCGCCGCCGCUGGAGCUGGAGCUGGUGUUGUGAACCAUCUCUGCAGAACAGCGUCAUCGGAGGCACUGCUUCAAGCCCUUGGUGCCAUCAAAUGAGAAGCACACAUUGGCAAGAACCAGGAGGAGACAUGGAGACAUCCCUAACAAUCAAGGAUCUGCAGUGGGCUGGAGAGACAGCAUAAUGGUUAUGCUUAAAGACUUUCAUGCCAGAGACUCUAAGAUGCCAGGUUCAGUCCCCAGAACCACUGUAAACCAAAACUAAGCAGUGCUCUGGUGAAAUAAAUAAAUAAAAUUAAUUUAAUUUAAUUUAAAAAUAAAGGGUCUGCAGCAAAAGGAGUUUAAAUUAAAGACUUCUCAUCAUUGGUCCUAUGGA